This 397-nucleotide ribosomal RNA is filed under the name uncultured bacterium. RNAcentral's name for it is "partial 16S ribosomal RNA". It matches the Rfam family "Bacterial small subunit ribosomal RNA", at positions 523 to 918 of the family's 1533-position model. The record is from RNAcentral.
AUACGUAGGUGACAAGCGUUAUCCGGAUUUACUGGGCGUAAAGGGCGUGUAGGCGGUCUUGCAAGUCAGAAGUGAAAUUCCUGAGCUCAACUCGGGCGCUGCUUCUGAAACUGCAGGACUUGAGUGCUGGAGGGGAUAGCGGAAUUCCUAGUGGAGCGGUAAAAUGCGCAGAUAUUAGGAAGAACACCGGUGGCGAAGGCGGCUAUCUGGACAGUAACUGACGCUGAGACGCGAAAGCGUGGGGAGCAAACAGGAUUAGAUACCCUGGUAGUCCACGCCGCAAACGAUGAAUACUAGGUGUAGGGGGUAUCGACUCCCUCUGUGCCGCAGUUAACACAAUAAGUAUUCCGCCUGGGGAGUACGGCCGCAAGGUUGAAACUCAAAUGAAUUGACGGGG